Long non-coding RNA from Osmerus eperlanus (European smelt), 1242 nucleotides. RefSeq lists it as uncharacterized. The record is from RefSeq and is a predicted model, not a curated record. The transcript has 4 exons. NCBI's taxonomy places the organism in Eukaryota, Metazoa, Chordata, Actinopteri, Osmeriformes, Osmeridae.
GAAAUGCAAUGUCAUGUAAGAAGUACCUUUCACUGUAAGCACACUGUAGGCACUGACAGCAUACUGUAGCCCACAACAGGAAGGAUUACUGUACUUAAUUCAGCCACUCCUUACUCACUCAUAACCUCCCCUCCAUGCAUGUUUCUCUCCCACUCUCAUUUGACAGAUUAAUAAGGCCAACCCUUCCUGGUAGACCCAGUGUGGGCACCGGAUUUGUUUAUCUCAGUUCUAAGCCGCCGCAGCAGCUUACGAGCUUGUGUGCAGAUAGUGAUUGGUCAGUGCCAGCAGAGAAGCGUGAGCUGGCCUCUUGAAGCCUAUCCCCCAUCCCAGAGCAAUGACAGGAGGUAGUAAGACUUGUGGCUGAGGCCUGUCCCGCUUUGGUUCUGUAUUUAGCAAGGGUAGGUCCUAGAAACCCUGCAACAUGGACAAAGUGUUGGGAGAGUUCUAUACAGGUCAGCUGCUUUGAAAAGCUGGAUGUGAGCAUCUAAGUUGGAAAGUGAGGACAAAGGAAGACCUGCUGAUUUGUGGUAUGAAUUUAAUGGAAUUAACAUCAGGAAGAGAGGAAAAAGAGAGAGCACAGAAGAGGAAGACAGGGUUUUCAGUGCCAGCUCAGUGAAAACAAUUAAAAGCUUUUGUGGACAGACACCCCAGAGAGAAGAGGAGAGGAAGGACAGGACAGGAGUCCGAUACACAUCAGAUCCAGGGACAAACUACUUGGCAAUGAAGAAAAGGAACAAGGUAUUGUGGGAAACAAGUACCCCACAAGAAGGACUGACUGACACAGCAUCACUUGUCAGAGGAUACUGUCUUGGACAAAUCUUCACUUAUCCAGUUGCUACUGACCUCUCUGAUACACAGGAAUAACAGCAACGGAAGCCUGAAUCGGAGGUAUAUGCCUGCUGGUCUUGGAUGAAAUGAAGAGCUAUGUAUACGAUUGGGACCUUCCUGUGGAGGGCCCGUUGCAUAAAGUAAUGCAUUGGCAGAGCAGGUGGAAUUCAGCAUACCAGACACCCUCCCCCAGCCCCCCUCACCAGCCGACACAGCAAGGGGCCGCUCUGGCUGUCCCCACAGAGACGACUGAAAGGAUAAGGAAGGCUAAAUUAGAGACCAUCACAAUACUUGCGGAUAACCACCUACACACACUCACCAGCACACGUUGUAGCCACCUUUCAAAGGUCAGCUAUCAAAGCCAGGUUAUAUUUGGUCUAUCUUUGAUGUAGGCUGAAGAGGAAGGGUUGUGUG